Molecule: long non-coding RNA, 1618 nt
Organism: Cyprinus carpio (common carp)
Lineage: Eukaryota; Metazoa; Chordata; Actinopteri; Cypriniformes; Cyprinidae
Source: Ensembl
UGAUAUGGCAGCUUGACAUGGGCACCUAUCGAAAAGGUAUUAUGGAUUGUGGAAGUGUCACACCCAGGGGCUGGCUAUGCUUUGACUAAGCCACACCCCUUCUCAACUUCCACCUCGAGGAGGUCCCCAAAGCCAACCCAAUGGCCAAACAACACGAGAACAAAUGGGCUAUGGCCGGGAAGAGGUCAGGGAGCAAGGGGGCCACGGGGAUCCGGGGCGUGGGACUCGGGCCCCGGCCUGAGUCUUAGGUAUCCGUAGCGCCCUCCUUCUUCCUCCUCUUCGCUGAAUACAGCUCACGGUAAGUACUGGUUCACACAGUUCGUUCUCGGGGUGCUCACUCUCUUUCUCUUCCUCCACAGGCAACGGCUGGGACACAAAGGCACAGUUAAUUCGGCUUGGUUUUGCUCUCACCUCUUCGCUGAUUGCAGCUCACAGUAAGUACUGGUUCACACAGUUCGUUCUCUGGGUGCUCACUCUCUUUCUCUUUCUCCACAGGCAACGGCUGGGACACACAGGCACAGUUAGUUCAGCUUGGUUUUGCUCUCACCUCUUCGCUGGACACAGCGUACUGUAUCAACUUGGACACAAAGCACAGUUACUCUGCUUUGGAUGGCUUUCACCUCUGGGCUGGACACAGCGUACCGUGCUAUCUCCGGAGAUCUGAAGCACGCUCACAACAUAUACUGUACUGAACUAGGCUAGGACCAGCAGUCUCCUUGUCCUCCCGCGACGAAGUGCGUGAAGGCGGGGGUUUAUCUGACAGGACACACGGCAAUACACAGCAGCCCACAGCAAUAUACAACACCACGUCAAAAUUAUAGGUUUUCACAGCACGAAGACUCACCCACCACACUCAGUGUACGAAAAGGACACCCGUCUUCCUUCACUUCGCUUGGUUCGGAUCUGGCGAUGGAAUAUGCGGCCUAGCUAGUGAUGUCGUCGUUGUGACUACUUCAAUAAGUAUUCCUUCGGCUCUCCCACCACGCUAUAUUAGGGGUAGGGCCGCCCUCCUCCUCCUGGAGAGAUCUACACAACGCCAGGUCAAUAUACAGGGCACUUUCGACUGGCUCUUAGUACUCACAUCAAUGCCGCUUCCAAUCCCCUUUUUCACGUCGUCUCAGUUCGCCGUAUAAUCCGUUCACUUCUCAACCUUUAAGGUUCGCGAUGUCUUCACAAUCAUACAAUUCCAGCCUGAGGGAGAGAGAGAGUUAGACAGCCACCAGCAGCGCACCAAGACGGGCACAACACAGUGCUUCACACACACCAGAAAGAGCCCCCAGACUGUGAAAUAACUUGGCCUUAAGUACUGCCUUGUCCAGCGUAUCCUCCAAUCACCAACCGCUGUCCCUAACUAGGCACAGGUGCAUCGAAUUCCCUGAUUUUCCUUCUUACAGCGCUACCGGAAGUUCCGGUGUUCUGUUUUUCCGGUCCGGGCGGAAACACUUCCGGGCGGAACCAAACUUCCCGAAUUUUGGUUCCGCCCCUAAAGAUCGUCACCUUGUGACAGAAGCACCAAUGUGGUAACUAACCACUCCAGUUGAUGCAGUUAAAAUCACACUUCUAUCAUCAGGGUUUUCAGACAGCUGAGCUAAAUGUCUGGAAGAUUUGUAGUCUAUUG